Molecule: transfer RNA, 76 nt
Filed under: Podarcis lilfordi (Lilford's wall lizard)
Lineage: Eukaryota; Metazoa; Chordata; Lepidosauria; Squamata; Lacertidae
Description: tRNA.Lys
Rfam family: tRNA
About the family: Transfer RNA (tRNA) molecules are approximately 80 nucleotides in length. Their secondary structure includes four short double-helical elements and three loops (D, anti-codon, and T loops).
Source: RNAcentral
ACCACUGAGAUAGCUCAGUUGGUAGAGCAUGAGACUCUUCAUCUCAAGGUUGUGGGUUCGAAUCCCACCUUGGGCA